This 486-nucleotide ribosomal RNA is filed under the name uncultured bacterium. Its description in RNAcentral is "partial 16S ribosomal RNA". It matches the Rfam family "Bacterial small subunit ribosomal RNA", at positions 30 to 507 of the family's 1533-position model. The record is from RNAcentral.
AUUGAACGCUGGCGGCAUGCCUUACACAUGCAAGUCGAACGGCAGCACGGGUGCUUGCACCUGGUGGCGAGUGGCGAACGGGUGAGUAAUACAACGGAACAUGUCCUGUAGUGGGGGAUAGCCCGGCGAAAGCCGGAUUAAUACCGCAUACGAUCUACGGAUGAAAGCGGGGGACCUUCGGGCCUCGCGCUAUAGGGUUGGCCGAUAGCUGAUUAGCUAGUUGGUGGGGUAAAGGCCUACCAAGGCGACGAUCAGUAGCUGGUCUGAGAGGACGACCAGCCACACUGGGACUGAGACACGGCCCAGACUCCUACGGGAGGCAGCAGUGGGGAAUUUUGGACAAUGGGCGAAAGCCUGAUCCAGCAAUGCCGCGUGUGUGAAGAAGGCCUUCGGGUUGUAAAGCACUUUUGUCCGGAAAGAAAUCCUUGGCUCUAAUACAGUCGGGGGAUGACGGUACCGGAAGAAUAAGCACCGGCUAACUACGUG